Molecule: ribosomal RNA, 301 nt
Filed under: uncultured bacterium
Lineage: Bacteria
Description: partial 16S ribosomal RNA
Rfam family: Bacterial small subunit ribosomal RNA
Source: RNAcentral
CAGUCGCCGCGGUAAUACGUAGGGUGCGAGCGUUAAUCGGAAUUACUGGGCGUAAAGCGUGCGCAGGCGGUUGUGUAAGACAGGUGUGAAAUCCCCGGGCUUAACCUGGGAACUGCGCUCGUGACUGCACAGCUAGAGUAUGGCAGAGGGGGGUGGAAUUCCACGUGUAGCAGUGAAAUGCGUAGAGAUCGGGAGGAACAUCAGUGGCGAAGGCGGCCAUCUGGGACAACACUGACGCUGAGGCACGAAAGCGUGGGGAGCAAACAGGAUUAGAGACCCCCGUAGUCCCUGUCUCUUAUAC